UAUAGAAACAAGGAAACUUUUCGGGGCUGUCAAUCAGGGCGCAAUCAGCUGACUGUCAGCUGGGAGCGCCGUAACCCCUUCCUGCCCGCCCCGUUCACCGGGGACCGGGCACCGGGCUGGGGCCGCUCCUCCCGCCGGGACGCGCCGUCGGGUGCCCGCCCGGCUCCGCUCCGCUCCGCUCCGCGCUGCCUUGCUUUGUCCUGCUUUGUCCUGCUCUGUCCUGCUUUGUCCUGUUCUGUCCUGCUCUGCCCCGGGGUGCGGAGCCCUCGGGUGCUCCUGGCCGGCCGGGCACCCGAGGGCACCGGGGGACUUGGCCCGGGGGCGUGCGGGGACGGCCCGAGGGAGGGGGCUGCUCCGGGGGGCUCCGCGGGGCUCGGCGGUGCUGCCGGGCUCAGCCGGGCUCCAGCCGCUACCUGGUGCCGGUACCGAGACCCCCGGGCCGCCCCCCCGCGGCGGCUCCCCCCUGGGUCUGCCGCUUGCUGCCGGCAGCGAUCGUUCCCCGGCCGUCCCCAGCAGAGAGGUCCGAAAGCCCUGCAAGUUUGCAAGCCCCGCUCCCGCCGGCGCUCGGCCGGCCUGGCCGGGCUAAUUAACGGAAUACAUCGCGAAACUAAUUGUCUUCUUUUUAGCCUCCCCUCCCGGUGCCCCCCGGCCGGGGCUGGAGGGGGGGGAGCCGUGCGAGCGCGGAGCGGGCUGCACCCGGCGGUGCCGAGCGGCGGCGGAGCGGCUCCGUUCAAACCUCGACAGCGCCAUCUCUCGUCGAAAGGUCAGUGCCGAGGCCGUCCCCGGCCGGCGCCGAGCCGCGGGAGCAGAGCCGAGCCGUGCCGGGCCGUGCCGAGCUGUGCCGUGCCGUGCCGUGCCGUCGGGGCUCCGCCGUCGGGGCUGGCCCGGCCCGGCCCGGCUCAGGUCGGCUCGGUUGGGGUCCCUUCUUGGCCCCCCUUGGGCCGGGGAAGCCCGCAGCCUGCCGAGCUGCCAGGCUCGCUUUGUCGAGCGGGCUUUAUGGGAAUAUCGAUAGAAUUAAAGUUACUUGUAAUUCCGUGA
RNAcentral lists this long non-coding RNA (1038 nucleotides) under Anas platyrhynchos platyrhynchos (common mallard). RNAcentral's name for it is "lncRNA (ENSAPLG00000020689.1)". Lineage: Eukaryota; Metazoa; Chordata; Aves; Anseriformes; Anatidae. The record is from RNAcentral.